CACUGUACAACAGCCAGUCCCGUGAUGUUUAGACAUAUUUCUAUACUUUUCUUCUCUCUUCCAUUCAAUGAAAGGAACGGUUGGACAGAAAAAUGAGCUAUUAUUUAAUACUAGUUUACAGCGGGAGUUAUUUGUCUUAUUUUUCCCUGUGCCAGAAGGAAAAUGUGUCAGUUCUACAAUUGGACAAGGUCCUACCUUAUUAUCAUGGAUCUGUGAACAACUGUUUUAGACUCAAGAAGCCAUUCUUUUUUAGGACUGCAGAAGUCAGACUCAAGUUUUGCCAAAAACUUGGUAGGUGUGUUUUACAUCUCACCAUUCAAAUCAAACAUCGCAGCAAACAGAAGCCAUUCUAUGGAGAGGCAGCCAAAGACUAGCUGUAUAAAUCCUACUUUUGGGGAAUAUCAUUAGAAGGCAACACACUUCCAUGCUACCCUUUUGUAGAGAAGACACAGAAUGUUGAAACCAUUCUUUUAAUUCCAUUGGUCAUCUGUCAAAGUCCUCACACUUCUUUCAAGAUGAAAAAUGUCUCAUCUUUAUGAUGUUCUUUCCCUUUAGAAUGUGGCUACACAAAUAUCACACUUACUAAGAAGUUAGAGAAGCAAAAGG
This 606-nucleotide long non-coding RNA is filed under the name Manacus vitellinus (golden-collared manakin). RNAcentral describes it as "lncRNA (ENSMVIG00005006801.1)". The record is from RNAcentral. Lineage: Eukaryota; Metazoa; Chordata; Aves; Passeriformes; Pipridae.